CAUUAGAUUGCUUAAAGCAAGCACUGGUCUCUUAAACCAUUUUAUAAUAAUUAGCGCCUAUUUCUAAUGG
This 70-nucleotide transfer RNA is filed under the name Episcapha opaca. Its description in RNAcentral is "tRNA-Lys". Lineage: Eukaryota; Metazoa; Arthropoda; Insecta; Coleoptera; Erotylidae. The record is from RNAcentral.